This 503-nucleotide ribosomal RNA is filed under the name uncultured Glomus. RNAcentral's name for it is "SSU rRNA". It matches the Rfam family "Eukaryotic small subunit ribosomal RNA", at positions 569 to 1076 of the family's 1831-position model. Lineage: Eukaryota; Fungi; Glomeromycota; Glomeromycetes; Glomerales; Glomeraceae. The record is from RNAcentral.
AGCAGCCGCGGUAAUUCCAGCUCCAAUAGCGUAUAUUAAAGUUGUUGCAGUUAAAAAGCUCGUAGUUGAAUUUCGGGAUCAGUACGCUGGUCAUGCCUUUGGUAUGCACUGGUGUCACUGGUUUCUCCCUUCUGAAGAACCGUGAUGUCAUUAAUUUGGUGUCGCGGGGAAUCAGGACUGUUACUUUGAAAAAUUAGAGUGUUUAAAGCAGGCUCACGCUUGAAUACAUUAGCAUGGAAUAAUGAAAUAGGACGUUUGACCCUAUUUUGUUGGUUUCUAGGAUCGACGUAAUGAUUAAUAGGGAUAGUUGGGGGCACUAGUAUUCAAUUGUCAGAGGUGAAAUUCUUGGAUUUAUUGAAGACUAACUACUGCGAAAGCAUUUGCCAAGGAUGUUUUCAUUAAUCAAGAACGAAAGUUAGGGAUCGAAGACGAUCAGAUACCGUCGUAGUCUUAACCAUAAACUAUGCCGACUAGGGAUCGGAUGAUGUUAAUUUAUAAUGACU